UGGAGACAACCUCCCUUAGUUUGAGACCUGUUUCUGGCACUUCCUGGCUGUGUCCACUUGGGUUGGGAAACUGAGUUGAAACUGUUUUUGAAGACUUAGCAUGAUGCCUCACAUGUAGUAUAUAUUUAACAACUGAUACCUAUUUUUAUUACUUGGAGAGUCUUUCCCAUAAAAUGACUCCAAGGUAGAAGGUAUUAUCUUAUCAACAUGUAAUCAACAAUGAAAGGCACCAAUGAGG
Long non-coding RNA from Cervus elaphus (red deer), 238 nucleotides. RefSeq lists it as uncharacterized. The transcript has 3 exons. NCBI's taxonomy places the organism in Eukaryota, Metazoa, Chordata, Mammalia, Artiodactyla, Cervidae. The record is from RefSeq and is a predicted model, not a curated record.